This 254-nucleotide ribosomal RNA is filed under the name uncultured bacterium. RNAcentral's name for it is "partial 16S ribosomal RNA". It matches the Rfam family "Bacterial small subunit ribosomal RNA", at positions 524 to 776 of the family's 1533-position model. The record is from RNAcentral.
UACGGAGGGUGCGAGCGUUGUCCGGAAUCAUUGGGCGUAAAGGGCGCGUAGGUGGCCCGGUCAGUUCGUGGUGAAAGCGCGGGGCUCAACCCUGCGUCGGCCAUGAAUACUGCCGCGGCUGGAGCACUGUAGAGGCAGGCGGAAUUCCGGGUGUAGCGGUGGAAUGCGUAGAGAUCCGGAAGAACACCGGUGGCGAAGGCGGCCUGCUGGGCAGUUGCUGACACUGAGGCGCGACAGCGUGGGGAGCGAACGGG